AGAUUAUUCAUCGACCUUUUACAGGGCCAAAAUACCAUCAGAAAACGUUGUGGAUCGCUAUCGUCCCGACGUGUUUGCUGGAGAAAACACAGGUUUAAAGGGAAGGUUGGCGUACAGACUGGAUUCAAACUCAGCGGCGACCAAGAACCCAAAGCGCCAGUGCCUGACCUGGUAUCAAAGCGAGCAAAUGAUGAACUUCAGUCCAUUCACUACCUGUCCCUGCUCUCUCUGGCAAGGGCUAUUUGACAGCAGAUACACAUACGGAUACAACAUAGCUAAUUAUGGAUAUCAGAUUUCGUAUGUCCCAGGCACAUCCUGGAGUCUACAAAGCGUGCAGAUGGAUAUUUACGGGGCAGGGGUCAGGUGCUAUUACAGCUGGUGGGGAGCGUUGCUGUAUGGAAGGUACGAGAAAUAUCUGCCCACUCCGUGGUUUCAGUACCAAUGGUGGUGGUGGUCAUACUACUCUGCGUUUUCGGCCGAACGUAACACCUAUACCG
Long non-coding RNA from Lethenteron reissneri (Far Eastern brook lamprey), 497 nucleotides. RefSeq lists it as uncharacterized. NCBI's taxonomy places the organism in Eukaryota, Metazoa, Chordata, Hyperoartia, Petromyzontiformes, Petromyzontidae. The record is from RefSeq and is a predicted model, not a curated record.